This 1390-nucleotide long non-coding RNA is filed under the name Homo sapiens (human). Its description in RNAcentral is "non-protein coding lnc-NR1I2-1:4". The record is from RNAcentral. Lineage: Eukaryota; Metazoa; Chordata; Mammalia; Primates; Hominidae.
CCGCGGGCCCUCGGUGCAGCAAAUCGGAAAGUGCUGCGGUCGGCGGCCCUGGGCUCUGAGCGCUCAAGCGAGCAGAGGGGUGGAGGGGCUCUCCCCACCCACAGGAGGCUCUCGGCGGGGCGCAGCCAAUUCUGCGCGCCCAAGGCUCCCCUCUGCCGUGGAUCGCGUGUGCCGAGUGUUGGCCUCUUCCCCGAAAGGGCCAGACGGACCAAGGGGGCCUUCCCAGCCGGCUGCAAGCUCUCAGACGCUAAAAUGGGAACAAAGCUUCCAGAAAGGCAGCGCCUUUGGGCGGCCGCGCCCCGCCCAGCCGCGGGGGCCAUUGAUACAGAGGCUUGCUGCGCUUGGUGUGCGCGGCCCGGCCGGGCCUCUGGAAACGCCCAUGAGAAAUGAGCUCAUGCUGGAUGCGCGCGCUCCUUGGGCGCAACUGCCCAGCGCAAAACGGGCCCCGAAAGCAGGUGAGGGGAAAUGCCGUCAGGCCGGAUAUCCUGAAGCCUCCGAGGAAAUGGGGGGGUCAGAGGAGCCCGUGGUAGCUUUGGAUCUUUUGGAACUAGGGUGAUCUAUAAAAGUGCAGCUUGAGAAGAUUUCAUACAUAAGACCAGCGUCCAUUGUUCUACCAUAGAACCAGUUCCUUUGGUCUGCUUUAGAACAGUGAGGUAUGGCUACGUCAAGAUAACAGAGAAAGUAGAACAGACAGUUGCCAUCCUGAUUGUAAUCCAGUGGUGCCUGUAAUUUCUACCUGCAGAGUCAUCUCUUUCUGUUAAGAUGCUGUCUCCAGAAAGCACAUGUUAAAGGACCUAUAUUUGAUCAGAUUACCUGGCUCUUGCUUUGAAACACUGAUGAAGGACUUGGGACAGAACAAAGUGAGUGGAGGACACUUCAAUCUAAAGUGAUCUUAAAGGAGGAGUAGUAGGAUUUGAAGAUGAAGAAAGAAGAGGGGAGGUUAAAAAAUGGAGGCAACAGCUGGGUACAGUGGCUCACUCCUGUAAUUCCAGCACUUUAGGAGGCCAAGGUAGGCAGAUCACUUGAGAAAAAGAGUUCGAGACCAGCCUGGGCAACAUAGUGAGACCCUCUCUCUCAAAAAAAAUAGCCAAGUGUGAUGAUGGACACCUGUAACCCCAACUACUUCAGAGACUGAGGCAGGAGGAUCACUUGAGCCUAGGAGGUCAAGGCUGCAGUGAGCUGUGAUUGGGCCACUGCACUCCAGCCUGGGUGACACAGAGAGACCUCUCUAAAAAAUAAAAAAAUAAAAAAAAUGGAAGCACAGAAAACUAUACCUUUUCUAGCUCAACUUUACCACAUUGAUGAAAAAGUAUUGAGCAGCCACAGGUACAUGACAUUCCACUAUGUUCUUGGGAUAAUAUUAAAGAAAAGGCAUGAAGGUAUGCUCUGA